This 119-nucleotide ribosomal RNA is filed under the name Sinocyclocheilus rhinocerous. The record is from RNAcentral. Lineage: Eukaryota; Metazoa; Chordata; Actinopteri; Cypriniformes; Cyprinidae.
GCUUACGGCCUUACCACCCUGUCUGCGCCCGAUAUCGUCUGAUCUCGGAAUCUAAGCAGAGUGGGGCCUGGUUAUUACUUGGAUGGGACACCGCCUGGGAAUACCAGGUGCUGUAAGUU